RNAcentral lists this ribosomal RNA (388 nucleotides) under uncultured microorganism. RNAcentral describes it as "bacterial SSU rRNA". It matches the Rfam family "Archaeal small subunit ribosomal RNA", at positions 330 to 720 of the family's 1478-position model. The record is from RNAcentral.
GUGCAGCAGGCGAGAAACUUCACACUGUGCGAAAGCACGAUGAGGGAAUCCCAAGUGCUUGCACGUAAGUGUAAGCUGUUUCUCUGUCUAAAACGCAGAGAGAGUAAGGGCUGGGUAAGACGGGUGCCAGCCGCCGCGGUAAUACCUGCAGCUCAAGUGGUGACCGUUAUUAUUGGGCCUAAAACGUCCGUAGCCGGUUUAAUAAAUGCCUGGGUAAAUUGUGUAGCUUAACUAUACGAAUUCCGGGUAGACUGUUAAACUUGAGACCGGGAGAAGUUAGAGGUACUCCUGGGGUAGAGGUGAAAAUUCUGUAAUCCUAGGGGACCACCAGUGGCGAAGGCGUCUAACUAGAACGGGUCUGACGGUGAGGGACGAAGCCCUGGGGCGC